CAGCACCUCAAGUGGUCAGGAUGAUUAUUGGGCCUAAAGCAUCCGUAGCCUGCUUUGUUAGUUUUCGGUUAAAUCCAUACGCUCAACGUAUGGGCUGCCGGGAAUACUGCAAAGCUAGGGAGUGGGAGAGGUAGACGGUACUCGGUAGGAAGGGGUAAAAUCCUUUGAUCUAUUGAUGACCACCUGUGGCGAAGGCGGUCUACCAGAACACGUCCGACGGUGAGGGAUGAAAGCUGGGGGAGCAAACCGGAUUAGAGACCCGAGUAGUC
This 269-nucleotide ribosomal RNA is filed under the name uncultured archaeon. Its description in RNAcentral is "partial 16S ribosomal RNA". It matches the Rfam family "Archaeal small subunit ribosomal RNA", at positions 477 to 746 of the family's 1478-position model. The record is from RNAcentral.